RNAcentral lists this ribosomal RNA (299 nucleotides) under uncultured bacterium. RNAcentral's name for it is "partial 16S ribosomal RNA". It matches the Rfam family "Bacterial small subunit ribosomal RNA", at positions 334 to 625 of the family's 1533-position model. The record is from RNAcentral.
AAUUCCUACGGGGCGCAGCAGUAGGGAAUCUUCCACAAUGGACGAAAGUCUGAUGGAGCAACGCCGCGUGAGUGAAGAAGGGUUUCGGCUCGUAAAGCUCUGUUGGUAGUGAAGAAAGAUAGAGGUAGUAACUGGCCUUUAUUUGACGGUAAUUACUUAGAAAGUCACGGCUAACUACGUGCCAGCAGCCGCGGUAAUACGUAGGUGGCAAGCGUUGUCCGGAUUUAUUGGGCGUAAAGCGAGUGCAGGCGGGUCAAUAAGUCUGAUGUGAAAGACCUUGGCUCAACCGGAGAAUUGGA